GUAUGGGGACGGCCCGUUUCACCCUCAUAUCGGACGGGGUAUUGAGGUUCAUGGUUUUAGCGCCCAUACCGGACGGGGUAUGGGGACGGCCCUGAAAACUGAUUAUGAAUGUUAAAGGUUAACGGGUAGCGGAACCCCUAUGGACCCCCACGGAUACUAGUAGGCUGGUAAAUGAGAAAAAGAUAUGUUGUACAAUGAUUGAAUUACAAGAGGCAUGAUAAGUGUUAUGUUUUACAGCUUAUAUUAUUCCAUGAUUAUGAUAAUGUUAUUGUUUUCUUAUAUUGUUUUCAUAAAUUCCACCGAGGUAAGUGGAUGGUAAAGGUUUUCAUGUUAAUAAACGAGUUUGUUGUAAAUUAUGCUCCAUUGGUCUUUUUGUGUUUUUCUACCCACCUUUACCUCCGUGACGGUGAGAU
RNAcentral lists this long non-coding RNA (413 nucleotides) under Carica papaya (papaya). RNAcentral's name for it is "long non-coding RNA (CPAP_LNC002024)". Lineage: Eukaryota; Viridiplantae; Streptophyta; Magnoliopsida; Brassicales; Caricaceae. The record is from RNAcentral.